GCCUACGGGGGGCAGCAGUAGGGAAUCUUCCACAAUGGACGAAAGUCUGAUGGAGCAACGCCGCGUGAGUGAAGAAGGGUUUCGGCUCGUAAAGCUCUGUUGGUAGUGAAGAAAGAUAGAGGUAGUAACUGGCCUUUAUUUGACGGUAAUUACUUAGAAAGUCACGGCUAACUACGUGCCAGCAGCCGCGGUAAUACGUAGGUGGCAAGCGUUGUCCGGAUUUAUUGGGCGUAAAGUGAGUGGAGGUGGUUUAAUAAAUUU
RNAcentral lists this ribosomal RNA (261 nucleotides) under uncultured bacterium. RNAcentral's name for it is "partial 16S ribosomal RNA". It matches the Rfam family "Bacterial small subunit ribosomal RNA", at positions 337 to 590 of the family's 1533-position model. The record is from RNAcentral.